Non-coding RNA from Nicotiana tabacum (common tobacco), 609 nucleotides. Lineage: Eukaryota; Viridiplantae; Streptophyta; Magnoliopsida; Solanales; Solanaceae. The record is from RefSeq and is a predicted model, not a curated record.
AGGUAUUGCUAUCCAAUGCGGAGCUGGCUAGACUAAGCAAGGAUCUAGCAAUAUUACGAUGUGAUCUGCCAUCCUACAUGGUUCCUUUUGCCCCUGAUGACUUGAUAUUUGAGAAACCAGAGGAUGGCGGGGAGAAAUUUACUAGCCUCUUAACGGCUAUUAGUGCUUAUGCUGAAGGAUUUUCCGCGGAUACCAUAAUUAGAAGAGCUUUGUAUUUGUGGAAGAAGCUUGAGAAGCAAAAUACAUAUACGGUGCACCAGAAACUUCUAUCAGCCUGAUCGGAGACUCUGAUGUCCUGAAAACCGAUGGUGAUACAAUUCCUAGUUCUUCUGUUCAUAGCUUUUUUUUGGGAUUAUAGAUUAUCAUUGAAAACCAAAAUGAACUAGGUAGGGUAUACUGGUCAGAGCACCUCCUUGUAAAAUUAACCAGUGAGCAUUCUGCAUUAGUAAUUGGUCUUUUACUGUAACGUGCUUCAUAUUACUGAAACAUGAUAUGCAGUAGCAUUACUGGAAUUCGGAAUUAUUAAGAGAAAUCCAAAAAAAUUGGAUUUCCUUUGUGCCAUUUGGAUGGAUAAAGAAAUUCAAGGGAAAAUGGAGAUUAUUAUAUUUG